AGCAGCCGCGGUAAUUCCAGCUCCAAUAGCGUAUAUUAAAGUUGUUGCAGUUAAAAAGCUCGUAGUUGAACUUCGGGAUUCACCCAUUGGUCAGGCUUAAUUGUCUGUACUGGUGAGAUGAGUCUCUACCUUCUGAGGAACUUUCAUGCCAUUUGUUUGGUGUGAUUGGAAAUCAGGACUGUUACUUUGAAAAAAUUAGAGUGUUUAAAGCAGGCUAACGUCUGAAUACAUUAGCAUGGAAUAAUGAAAUAGGACGGAUUGAUUCUAUUUCGUUGGUUUCUAGGGUCACCGUAAUGAUUAAUAGGGAUAGUUGGGGGCAUUAGUAUUCAAUUGUCAGAGGUGAAAUUCUUGGAUUUAUUGAAGACUAACUACUGCGAAAGCAUUUGCCAAGGAUGUUUUCAUUAAUCAAGAACGAAAGUUAGGGGAUCGAAGACGAUCAGAUACCGUCGUAGUCUUGACCAUAAACUAUGCCGACUAGGGAUCGGACGCAGUUAAUUUUAUAAUGACGU
Molecule: ribosomal RNA, 509 nt
Filed under: uncultured Glomeromycotina
Lineage: Eukaryota; Fungi; Glomeromycota
Description: SSU rRNA
Rfam family: Eukaryotic small subunit ribosomal RNA
Source: RNAcentral